UACGGGGGGAGCAAGCGUUGUUCGGAUUUACUGGGCGUAAAGGGCGCGUAGGCGGUCAGCACAAGUCAGUUGUGAAAUCUCCGAGCUUAACUCGGAACGGUCAACUGAUACUGUGCGACUAGAGUGCGGAAGGGGCAACUGGAAUUCUCGGUGUAGCGGUGAAAUGCGUAGAUAUCGAGAGGAACACCUGCGGCGAAGGCGGGUUGCUGGGCCGACACUGACGCUGAUGCGCGAAAGCCAGGGGAGCAAACAGG
This 254-nucleotide ribosomal RNA is filed under the name uncultured bacterium. RNAcentral's name for it is "partial 16S ribosomal RNA". It matches the Rfam family "Bacterial small subunit ribosomal RNA", at positions 524 to 776 of the family's 1533-position model. The record is from RNAcentral.